GGCAACAGCCAGAGGAGCGAGAAUGAAGCUACUUCCGCCAGUACUGAUACCACUAACUGCGGGCCAUCUAGUGGCAGGUUUCGGAUACUGCAGUGUUGAUGCCACAUGGCACCCAAGGGCAGAUUACUACGUUUUUGGCUGUAUUAAUUUAUUUACUUUUUUCAUUUUAUUAACAUGUUUUUUUUCCUGCGUCUUCACGGGAGAUUGUCAGGUUUCAGUCCUCCUGAAACUGGAUCCAGUUAGCUCAUGCAAUUAGUGAUAUUUUUGGACAGGAUGUAAAACUAAUCUGGGAAGUUUUGGCCGCCCUGGUAAUUAGAAACGACCUGGCACUUAUCACAAGACUAGCUCUUCGCCCUGAGGAUUUAACCAAAUCCAGGUACAGUAACUGCAUUCUGUGUUCCUGCAUUGCCCUUGCAAUUC
Chrysemys picta bellii (western painted turtle) is the source of this 420-nucleotide non-coding RNA. The record is from RefSeq and is a predicted model, not a curated record. Lineage: Eukaryota; Metazoa; Chordata; Testudines; Emydidae.